CGGGAGGCAGCAGCAGGGAAUAUUGUGCAAUGAACGAAAGUUUGACACAGCGACACCGCGUGUGGGAUGACGGAUCUAGGUUUGUAAACCACUUUCAGGAGGGAAGAAAAUGACGGUACCUCCAUAAGAAGCCCCGGCCAACUACGUGCCAGCAGCCGCGGUAAUACGUAGGGGGCGAGCGUUGUCCGGAUUUAUUGGGCGUAAAGAGCUCGUAGGCGGUUCAACAAGUCGGUCGUGAAAGUUCAGGGCUCAACCCUGAAAUGUCGAUCGAUACUGUUGUGACUAGGAUACGGUAGAGGUGAGUGGAAUUCCGAGUGUAGCGGUGAAAUGCGUAGAUAUUCGGAGGAACACCAAUUGCGAAGGCAGCUCACUGGGCCGCUAUCGACGCUGAGGAGCGAAAGCUAGGGGAGCAAACAGGAUUAGAUACCCUGGUAGUCCUAGCUGUAAACGAUGGAUACUAGACGUAGGAACUGGAUUGACGGUUUCUGUGUCGCAGCUAACGCGUUAAGUAUCCCGCCUGGGGAGUACGGCCGCAAGGCUAAAACUCAAAUGAAUUG
Molecule: ribosomal RNA, 557 nt
Filed under: uncultured bacterium
Lineage: Bacteria
Description: bacterial SSU rRNA
Rfam family: Bacterial small subunit ribosomal RNA
Source: RNAcentral